UUCCGUAGGUGAACCUGCGGAAGGAUCRUU
Molecule: ribosomal RNA, 30 nt
Filed under: Basidiomycota sp. MA5322
Lineage: Eukaryota; Fungi; Basidiomycota
Description: partial 18S ribosomal RNA
Source: RNAcentral